This 961-nucleotide long non-coding RNA is filed under the name Homo sapiens (human). Its description in RNAcentral is "long non-coding RNA NONHSAT195424". The record is from RNAcentral. Lineage: Eukaryota; Metazoa; Chordata; Mammalia; Primates; Hominidae.
UCCGUGGCAAUCCGCAUUCCUGCGGGAUUCAUCUGGCCCCGUCGCCCAGUGGUGCGGAGGCCUCCCCUUCAGCGCGGUAGUGUCUGUGGGUAUUGUUAUUGUCAGCUUACUGGAGCGUGUACAGGAACAGAACGAAGCCGCCGAGUUGAUAGGGCUUUGCGUCCCAGAGCCUCCUGCCCUCCGCCUGUAUUCAGAGCUGCGGGCUGCUUGUUUGUUCCUUGGCGGUGGAGGGUGCUAGUUGAGGCCAGACUUCGGGGUCUCCUGGGGGCCGUGGGACGACCAGGGGUGGCCCAGCUUGACAGCUUUCAGCUGGGAUCUGUGGAUCCCAGCGCUCACCAAUGUCGGCCCACGUGUAUUCGUUCAUGCCAUGGCCGGCUUCUUCCGCUGCAGUCUCUGGCCCGAGGGCUGCUGCUGCGGGACCGCCAAGGAAAGACGAGCUGUAGGUCGGCUGGUCCAGCUGCAGGCAGAAAUUCUGGUAGUAUCUCUGGGAAUAUGAAGAUGCAACUGCCCCCACCUUGCCUUCGAGGAUAUCAUGGGCCAGAAGGCAGAGUCGUUUUGAAUACGUGGUUCAUUGAGUACCCACUCUGGGCCAGUUGAUGGCUGCGAAGAGAGCAGAAGGGGUGCUGCUGUAGGAAAUCAAUGGCUCGGAAGACCACACUGAGGAAGGUGUGAGUUGAUACUGGAAGAUCUCCAGGUUUGAGGCAUCUUCAGAGGUAUAUGGUGGUUUUGUGUGUGUUGAGGGUGUGGUAGCGCAGCAGCUCCCUAGGGAAUUAGAAGGUUUUAUUGAACAUUUACCCUGUGACAGGCACUGCAGGCAUUCAGCGCGCAGUGUCAUCUUCAUUUUACAGGUGAGGAAAAGACUCAGGUUCAAGUAGAUGGUCAAGGCCAGUACUACCGGAAGGACCAUCUGGGGGUUCGGACACUGGUGGGGUGGGAUUUGCUGCCCCUUGCAAAUUGAGAG